Molecule: ribosomal RNA, 497 nt
Filed under: uncultured bacterium
Lineage: Bacteria
Description: partial 16S ribosomal RNA
Rfam family: Bacterial small subunit ribosomal RNA
Source: RNAcentral
GAUGAACGCUGGCGGCGUGCCUAAUACAUGCAAGUCGAGCGAACAGACGAGGAGCUUGCUCCUCUGACGUUAGCGGCGGACGGGUGAGUAACACGUGGAUAACCUACCUAUAAGACUGGGAUAACUUCGGGAAACCGGAGCUAAUACCGGAUAAUAUAUUGAACCGCAUGGUUCAAUAGUGAAAGACGGUUUUGCUGUCCCUUAUAGAUGGAUCCGCGCCGCAUUAGCUAGUUGGUAAGGUAACGGCUUACCAAGGCAACGAUGCGUAGCCGACCUGAGAGGGUGAUCGGCCACACUGGAACUGAGACACGGUCCAGACUCCUACGGGAGGCAGCAGUAGGGAAUCUUCCGCAAUGGGCGAAAGCCUGACGGGGCAACGCCGCGCGAGUGAUGAAGGUCUUCGGAUCGUAAAACUCUGUUAUUAGGGAAGAACAAAUGUGUAAGUAACUAUGCACGUCUUGACGGUACCUAAUCAGAAAGCCACGGCUAACUACGUG